CUACGGGGUGCACCAGUGGGGAAUAUUGGACAAUGGGGGCAACCCUGAUCCAGCCAUGCCGCGUGUGUGAAGAAGGCCUUUUGGUUGUAAAGCACUUUAAGCGAGGAGGAGGCUACUGGUACUAAUAUUACCAGCUAGUGGACGUUACUCGCAGAAUAAGCACCGGCUAACUCUGUGCCAGCAGCCGCGGUAAUACAGAGGGUGCGAGCGUUAAUCGGAAUUACUGGGCGUAAAGCGCGCGUAGGCGGUUUGUUAAGUCGGAUGUGAAAUCCCCGGGCUCGACCUGGGAAUUGCAUUCGAUACUGGCAAGCUAGAGUAUGGGAGAGGAAGGUAGAAGUCCAGGUGUAGCGGUGAAAUGCGUAGAGAUCUGGAGAAAUACCGAUGGCGAAGGCAGCCUUCUGGCCUAAUACUGACGCUGAGGUGCGAAAGCAUGGGGAGCAAACAGGAUUAGAUACCCGUGUAGUC
This 465-nucleotide ribosomal RNA is filed under the name uncultured bacterium. RNAcentral's name for it is "partial 16S ribosomal RNA". It matches the Rfam family "Bacterial small subunit ribosomal RNA", at positions 339 to 795 of the family's 1533-position model. The record is from RNAcentral.